GCACUGUUGAAGAGUCCCAUACUAGGACGAAACGGCCGUCUAGUGC
Non-coding RNA from Schistosoma haematobium, 46 nucleotides. Lineage: Eukaryota; Metazoa; Platyhelminthes; Trematoda; Strigeidida; Schistosomatidae. The record is from Rfam.